RNAcentral lists this ribosomal RNA (252 nucleotides) under uncultured bacterium. RNAcentral describes it as "partial 16S ribosomal RNA". It matches the Rfam family "Bacterial small subunit ribosomal RNA", at positions 524 to 776 of the family's 1533-position model. The record is from RNAcentral.
UACGUAGGCAGCGAGCGUUGUUCGGAAUUACUGGGCGUAAAGAGUGUGUAGGCGGUGCUCUAAGUUCGGUGUGAAAUCUCCUGCUUAACUGGGAGGGUGCGCCGAAAACUGGAGUGCUCGAGCGUGGGAGAGGAAAGCGGAAUUCCUGGUGUAGCGGUGAAAUGCGUAGAUAUCAGGAGGAACACCUGCGGUGUAGACGGCUUUCUGGACCAUUGCUGACGCUGAGACACGAAAGCGUGGGUAGCAAACAGG